Molecule: long non-coding RNA, 2306 nt
Organism: Scylla paramamosain (green mud crab)
Lineage: Eukaryota; Metazoa; Arthropoda; Malacostraca; Decapoda; Portunidae
Exons: 3
Source: RefSeq, a predicted model, not a curated record
GCGACAAACGAGAUGCGUAACAAGGGAGAGGAGGUGAUGCAUCUUUGUUGAGCAGGCAGAUGGCGGAUGGUGGCGCUUGGUAGUGGACGUGUCGGUGGUCACGGGACUCUUGUGAGCUUAAGGUGAAGGGCAUCCAGCUGUUCACUGUCCAGCGUUUACGAGACUGUGUGUCCCCUGAAGGCCGGCACCAUCACCACCACCAUCACCACCACCACUGCCUGCUGAAGAGAAGGAAGAAGGAGAAAGAGGUUGGAGAAGAAGAAGAGGAGAGAGAGGUGUAGAAGAAGUCAAAGAUUUACAAGAAACGUGUAGAUUUAUGAGCAUGAUUCUACUAUCCACUAUGUAUUAUACAAGCAAGAAGGACGAAGAGGUGGAGGAAUAGCAGGAAGACGAGGAGGAGGAAAAGAAGAAUGUGCGGAAGGGGUGGAAGUCAGGUGGCAAACAUGGAAAUCUAUACUUGUUUCUACUAAGUAUAUAUCAUGUACUUCUGAGGGAGGAGAAGACUGAAGUAGGAAGUGGAUAAGCUGUAGUAGUAACAGAAGCAGCAGAAAUAGCAGGAGGAGGAAGAGGAAGAGGAAGAGCGUAAGACUCAGCAAGUGUGCUUUUACUGUUAUCUGUUUACCAGGGGGAAGGAGUUGAAGUAGGAGUAGGAUGAAUAGAUAGCAGCAGUAGUAGCAGCAGUAAUAGUAAGAGGCGGGAGAAGAGGAGGAGGAAAUGUGUAAGAAUCAACAGUAGUAAUAGUAAGAGGAGGAGGAGGAAAAGGAAGAGGAAUAUUCGUAGUGUAAGUAUCUGGAAAGUAAGACUAACCCAUUAAUUUAGUGUUAGUACUGACUUGACAUUAGUAGUAGUAGUAGUAGUAGUAGUAGUAGUAGUAAUAGUAGGAGGAGGAGGAGGAGGAAGAGGAACGAGAGCAGAACGUGAUGUUGCGCAAGAGUCAAUAGGGUAAGAACAAACCACCAGUUACUACGAGUACUAAUUAACAUUACAUCAUUAACGUGAGCUUCAAAUCACGCCUGUAACUCCCGCGCGUUCAUCUCUCUGCUUCAGGAUAUUAGAGCGCAUCAGUUCAUCGCGGGGCCGGGUGCGUCUGUCCGUCCGUCCGUGGGUCCAUCCGUCCGUCAGUGGCUUGUUUACUGCUUCUGCUCGUUAAUUACUAUAUUGUUGAUGGGCCUAAAAUUACAGCCACUCAUCAGAGCCAGCGCCUCGUUAUAGCUGGAUGAUGUAUGGCCGGUCUGCUUGCCUGCCUUCCUCCUCCCUCCCCAUCUCUCCGCUCCCUGAAUUAGUUAAGUUGGAGGGACGAGGAAAUAAGAGAAAGAAAAACGGUGGGAGGAUUAUCAGGGAGGCUAAAAAGAGUAGGGAUGCGUGUUAGACAAAGUGGAAAUACGAAGGAAGGAGGGAAUGACUGUGAGGGAGUUAGGGGAGGUAUGGUAAAUAGGGGAAAUAUGAGGAAGAAUGGGUGGGAGGACUGUCAGAGAAAUUAGGAAGGGUAUUAGAGAAGGUGGAAAUAGGAAGGGAAGAAUGGUUGUGCGUGCGUGAGUGAGUGGAGAAGGCAUGGUAAAUACAGGGAUGAAAGGAGGAAAGGGAGAAUAAGAGCUUAGGUGAAAAAAAAAAUGUCAAGGAAAGAACAAAUAAUAAAAGAAAAAAUGAAGAAGGGGAACUAUAGAUGAAAGAAUAGGAAAGGGAUUAAUCAGAAGUAGAGGAGGGAACAAAACAGAAGAAGGAGAAGAAGAAGAAGGGGAGGAAGAGAGGAGAGGAGAGGAACUACUCGUAUGACGAUAAAAAUAUGAAAGGGAAGAAUCACAAAUAGAAGACGAAAGAAAAGUGAGAGGAGUAAACGCGAGGAUGGACUGAUUCUCUCCUCACCCUCUCUCUCUCUCUCUCUCUCUCUCUCUCUCUCUCUCUCUCUCUCUCUCUCUCUCUCUCUCUCUCUCUCUCUCUCUCUCUCUCUCUCUCCCCUUUCCUUAAGCCAGCGUCAGGAGGCAGCUUUACUCCUGCCGGGGGCCUGUAGUGUGUAGGUGCCGCCCUGCAUGACCAGAAACAAGGUCACUAGAAGCAGGUCAAACACUACACCGGCCCAAAUGGUUCCUGUCUCCCAACACAUGACGAUUUGCUGGAACAAGAGGCGAAAGUUAAUUUAUCUUAACUUAUCUUCAAGCGGGGAUAGUUUAGAGUGGAUGAAAGAAGAGGAACCAAGAGAGAUUAAUCUAGGAGGGAUGAAAGAAUGGGAAUCGAGAGAGAGAAUAGUCUAGGAGGUUAUGAAAAAGAGAGGAAUCAAGAGAGAGGAGUCUAGAGAGAAAGCCGAGGAG